AAAAAAAAAAAAGGAUUGUGGAACCUGAUCACCAAGAAAUAGUGCCUGAACAACUUUGGGCAACUACAUUUCAAUAAUACUAUAUUCCAUACAUAAAUUAAUGCAGGUCAAGUCCUAGGCAUUUAAAAUUAAUUCAGGUAAUGAUUCUGAUCAAAGAACAUGAAAGUUGCUGUUACCAUAUAACAUUGUCUCAAAAAUAGACAAAGGCUCCACCAGUCUUAUUUUCAAUUUCAAACAUCCAAUCAACAAACUUCUUUCUCUUGUAAAUCAAGCAUCUCAUUUAUCUAACCAAUCUAGGCCAUGAAUUAACCCAGUCAACUAGCAAAGGCUUUUAUAAAUUUCUAACAUUGUUCUUUUUACUAAUGAUAUCACCUGCUUUACACAUACCUGAGGGUCCACAUCUGGAUUG
RNAcentral lists this unclassified non-coding RNA (409 nucleotides) under Hevea brasiliensis (rubber tree). Lineage: Eukaryota; Viridiplantae; Streptophyta; Magnoliopsida; Malpighiales; Euphorbiaceae. The record is from RNAcentral.